UAAGCAUAUAAGAUCAUGCAUGGCAUUCUAUAUAUUGAAUUAUCUAAUAGCAAGCAUGACACUUGCUUGUUCACCAGAUCUAUUUAGCUAGGAAAUUUCCUAUAUGGAUUCCUGCUCAUAUUUCGUAACAAAUGUUCUCGAAUCUCAGAAGCCCAAAAACUUAGUAGAAUGUUCUAACAAAGGACCUAACGCACUAGGCGCGAAUUUUCUGGCAAAAAGGUAACAAAGUGAAGUUGGCUGGUUAUUGUAUACACAUAUUGAGCUUUCAGAAAUUCGCUUGAAAAAUUGAUCAUUAAUAUCGGCCUUCCCAAAUGUAGCAGGAUGAGCACCACCUCUGGACCAGUCCACCCAAGUGAGAGUCCGGUUUGCCAGGAGGCGAGGAGAUUCUAUGGUUAGCAUAGUUGGAAAAUAGUGCUCAUCCACAUAACAUGGCGGUCUGCAGAACUGCUCAAACUUAGGGUAGUAUACGUCAUCUUUAACAAUGUCAACAGCCAGUUUCCUGUUCACUUCAAACCACUGGGAUCCUUUACGCCAUUCAGUGAUGUUAACCUCAGGUACCAUAUUUGGAUUGUAACGUCCUCUUCCAAAAGGUCCAGGUUCGUCGGCUGCACCCAUAAAGCUGUACCUCGAUUUUGAAAUGUAGUGAUAGAUAGCUUUGAAGUUAUGGAGAGGAAUGCAUGCCUCAGAUAGGAGGAUAAACCAUUCAUUGGAGAUAUCAAGCAGUGCAUUAGCAAGAAGCCGUCUUUCAGCAUCACACAUGCUCAUUCUUCCCCACUUCGCCUCCUGACUAGGAAUUUGCCUGCCAUGAAAUACUGAUGAAGGUGGGAAAUCAGGUCUGUAUGAUGGCAAUGAAUGUAUGUAGAUUGAGUAAAGCUCAUUACCCUUGAAAAACCUCUCCCACAACGGCGCCAAAGGUAUAGGGCCUCUAGUCAAGAACAUGAACGCAAUCUUACGCGUUCUAUUAAAGGGGUAUUCUUUGAUUUGAGGAACAAUUGAAGCUCGCCAGAACAACUGUGUGUCAUUCAUAGAAUGCAACAGACUCGACGGAGGCCUAAUCCAACUCUCCAAACUAAGUUGUUGAAAACAGGGCUGAAAUCUUGAUUGUACCAUA
Molecule: unclassified non-coding RNA, 1111 nt
Filed under: Hevea brasiliensis (rubber tree)
Lineage: Eukaryota; Viridiplantae; Streptophyta; Magnoliopsida; Malpighiales; Euphorbiaceae
Source: RNAcentral